GAAGCUUACUUUAAUGCCAACGAGAGAAGAGAGGGAGAGUUUCUUUCACUUAACUGAAAAUCUUGAAAUCACAAUACGAAUGAGACACACAGAGAUUAGUUCAAGUAAACCACCCCUGAGAACUUAUAUUUUACUAUUAGAAAUCUCAAGGCAAUACCCAUCCAAAAAAAAACAAAAUUGACAAAACGAAAGGUGACAAAAUCUUUAAGUUUCUUGAAAUUUUAAUUUAAGAUCUUCAUCAAUCAUUGACAAAAUCUUGAUAAUCAUCUUGAUUAUUAGAAACCUUAAGAUACUGCAUGAAGUACAUGUCAUCCAUCCCCCGCCUA
Molecule: long non-coding RNA, 326 nt
Filed under: Solanum tuberosum (potato)
Lineage: Eukaryota; Viridiplantae; Streptophyta; Magnoliopsida; Solanales; Solanaceae
Description: long non-coding RNA (STUB_LNC003136)
Source: RNAcentral